CAGGGGAUACAGCCUUAUGGUGCUACUAGAGGUACAGGAUCUACAGGGGAAACAGCCUUAUGGUGCUACUAGAGGUACAGGGGAAACAGCCUUAUGGUGCUACUAGAGGUACAGGGGAAACAGCCUUAUGGUGCUACUAGAGGUACAGGAUCUACAUGGGGAACAGCCUUAUGGUGCUACUAGAGGUACAGGGGAAACAGCCUUAUGAUGCUACUAGAGGUACAGGGGAAACAGCCUUAUGGUGCUACUAGAGGUACAGGGGAAACAGCCUUAUGGUGCUACUAGAGGUACAGGAUCUACAGGGGAAACAACCUUUAUGGCC
Long non-coding RNA from Oncorhynchus tshawytscha (Chinook salmon), 322 nucleotides. The record is from Ensembl. NCBI's taxonomy places the organism in Eukaryota, Metazoa, Chordata, Actinopteri, Salmoniformes, Salmonidae.